GAUGAAGAACGCAGCGAAAUGCGAUACGUAAUGUGAAUUGCAGAAUUCAGUGAAUCAUCGAGUCUUUGAACGCACAUUGCGCCCCCUGGUAUUCCGGGGGGCAUGCCUGUCCGAGCGUCAUUGCUGCCCUCAAGCACGGCUUGUGUGUUGGGCCUCCGUCCUCCUCCCGGGGGACGGGCCCGAACGGCAGCGGCGGCACCGCGUCCGGUCCUCGAGCGUAUGGGGCUUCGUCACCCGCUCUUGUAGGCCCGGCCGGCGCUUGCCGACACAUCAAUCUUUUUUCCAGGUUGACCUCGGAUCAGGUAGGGAUACCCGCUGAACUUAAGCAUAUCAAUAAGCGGAGGA
This 345-nucleotide unclassified non-coding RNA is filed under the name soil metagenome. Its description in RNAcentral is "partial contains 5.8S ribosomal RNA, internal transcribed spacer 2, and large subunit ribosomal RNA". The stretch from base 1 to 120 matches the Rfam family "5.8S ribosomal RNA", at positions 35 to 154 of the family's 154-position model. The record is from RNAcentral.